AGUGAACGCUGGCGGCGUGCCUAAUACAUGCAAGUCGAACGCGAAAGUCCUUCGGGAUGAGUAAAGUGGCGCACGGGUGAGUAAUACAUGAGAACAUGCCCUUAAAUGGGGAAUAACGUUUGGAAACGAACGCUAAUACCGCAUAAUCUCGAGAGAGUAAAGGUGGCGCCGCAAGGGCUACCGUUUAAGGAUUGGCUCAUGUCCCAUUAGCUAGUUGGCAGGGUAAUGGCCUACCAAGGCAACGAUGGGUAACUGGUCUGAGAGGAUGAUCAGUCACACUGGAACUGAGACACGGUCCAGACUCCUACGGGUGGCUG
Molecule: ribosomal RNA, 317 nt
Filed under: uncultured Pseudomonadota bacterium
Lineage: Bacteria; Pseudomonadati; Pseudomonadota
Description: bacterial SSU rRNA
Rfam family: Bacterial small subunit ribosomal RNA
Source: RNAcentral